GAUGAACGCUGGCGGCGUGCCUAAUACAUGCAAGUCGAGCGAACAGACGAGGAGCUUGCUCCUCUGACGUUAGCGGCGGACGGGUGAUUAACACGUGGAUAACCUACCUAUAAGACUGGGAUAACUUCGGGAAACCGGAUCUAAUACCGGAUAAUAUAUUGAACCGCAUGGUUCAAUAGUGAAAGACGGUUUUGCUGUCACUUAUAGAUGUAUCCGCGCCGCAUUAGCUAGUUGGUAAGGUAACGGCUUACCAAGGCAACGAUGCGUAGCCGACCUGAGAGGGUGAUCAGCCACACUGGAACUGAGACACGGUCCAGACUCCUACGGGAGGCAGCAGUAGGGAAUCUUCCGCAAUGGGCGAAAGCCUGACGCAGCAACGCCGCGUGAGUGAUGAAGGUCUUCGGAUCGUAAACCUCUGUUAUUAGGGAAGAACAAAUGUGUAAGUAACUAUGCACGUCUUGACGGUACCUAAUCAGAAAGCAACGGCUAACUACGUG
This 497-nucleotide ribosomal RNA is filed under the name uncultured bacterium. Its description in RNAcentral is "partial 16S ribosomal RNA". It matches the Rfam family "Bacterial small subunit ribosomal RNA", at positions 28 to 507 of the family's 1533-position model. The record is from RNAcentral.